Molecule: long non-coding RNA, 722 nt
Filed under: Fragaria vesca (wild strawberry)
Lineage: Eukaryota; Viridiplantae; Streptophyta; Magnoliopsida; Rosales; Rosaceae
Description: long non-coding RNA (FVES_LNC002146)
Source: RNAcentral
CCUGAACAGUUUGUGCUGGAUAUGCUCGAAGAAAGUCCGUGGUGGGAAGAUCGCCGGCUCCUCCUCGGAGACAGUUUCCGGUAGCGGCUUAAGGAUGAUCUUCUCCUUGGGCGGCUCACAGAAAACCGCCCACGAGAUCCUCACCUUCUCCUUGUUGACGAGCCCCCUGUGAAGAAUGCUCUUGUACUUGCCGUUGCUUAGAAUCUCUAAGGUGUCGCCUAUGUGCAUGACGAUGGAGUUGGGUACGCACUUCGCUGUCACCCAUUUGCCGCCGUAGAAGAGCUGCAGGCCGGGAACCAUGUUGUGGAGGAUGAAGGUGAGUGCACUUAUGUCUGUAUGAGCUUCCACGCCGAGUGCAAGUUCCGGCUGAGGGCAUUUUGGGUAGUAGUUGAUCUUCAUUUGCAGGAGGAGUUCUUCGAGUCCACCGACCUCCUUCUCCAGCCUCCCUUCUUCUAAUCCCAAGCCAAGUGAGAGUAUGCUCAGUAUCUUGGUUGUUAACCCCCUCAGUUCCUUAGCAUACUCACUUGUUGCCACACUACACGUUUAUGUGAAUAUGACGCCAGUUAGGAAAACGUAUAAAUAAAUGAUAAUGCUAAAUGAACUACCUUUUAGAGAACCAGAGCUAGCAGUGGGUUUGUUACACUUACAUAUAGUCGGAAGGUGUUUGAGGCCAAAUGGACAAGUCACGCUUGUCCUCAGGAUAAACACAGUGGAAAAAGUAG